Molecule: ribosomal RNA, 365 nt
Filed under: Salmonella enterica
Lineage: Bacteria; Pseudomonadati; Pseudomonadota; Gammaproteobacteria; Enterobacterales; Enterobacteriaceae
Also listed under: 3 other names
Description: partial 16S ribosomal RNA
Rfam family: Bacterial small subunit ribosomal RNA
Source: RNAcentral
UGCCAGUGAUAAACUGGAGGAAGGUGGGGAUGACGUCAAGUCAUCAUGGCCCUUACGACCAGGGCUACACACGUGCUACAAUGGCGCAUACAAAGAGAAGCGACCUCGCGAGAGCAAGCGGACCUCAUAAAGUGCGUCGUAGUCCGGAUUGGAGUCUGCAACUCGACUCCAUGAAGUCGGAAUCGCUAGUAAUCGUGGAUCAGAAUGCCACGGUGAAUACGUUCCCGGGCCUUGUACACACCGCCCGUCACACCAUGGGAGUGGGUUGCAAAAGAAGUAGGUAGCUUAACCUUCGGGAGGGCGCUUACCACUUUGUGAUUCAUGACUGGGGUGAAGUCGUAACAAGGUAACCGUAGGGGAACCUG